UGUUCUUUUAUUUUGUUACAUUUCAUUUGACCUAUAUCCUGUUUUCCUCUGCAUCAGAAUGGUCAUUAAAGGUUUGCAAGUGAGCAAAAACUGACUAAUGUUCAGCUAUGCUACUAGUCUAUAUGAAAAAAUAUCUAUUUGAUAUUUUAAAUGUUAUAUUACAUGUGAAUAAAUGUGACUAUUUAACUGUUUAACUCUGUCCAACAUACAGGGAAUGUUUUUACAUAUUUCCACCUGUUGGACAUCAAAUACAUUCUGCAUUCAUUUAAAGAGAAACUUUAUUAAGUGAUGCAGUUAUUAAAGACAAACUUUUACUAUUUUUUUUUAGAAAAUGAUGUCACGUUCUUCAUUAACUGUCUUAAGAGGAAGACCAUAGCGGUCCACCUGUGUGACAAUAAGUUUCAGAGCGUCACAGUGCUGCAGCUGAAGGAGAAGUUGGAGCCUCUAACAGGAUUCCCAGUAGAUCAACAGCGACUGAUCUUCGGAGACAAACAGCUGGAGGACGAUGCUCUGCUGGUUUCAUGUGGAAUCCAUCAUGAGGCAACCAUUGAGUUAAUUCUAAAUGUCACGGUCAUCGUGAAAGAUUUGACUGGGAAGACCAUAAAGUUCGACCUGCCCGAUAAUGAGUUUCAGAGCAUCUCAGUGCUGCAGCUGAAGGAGAAGUUGGA
Molecule: long non-coding RNA, 668 nt
Organism: Centropristis striata (black sea bass)
Lineage: Eukaryota; Metazoa; Chordata; Actinopteri; Perciformes; Serranidae
Exons: 3
Source: RefSeq, a predicted model, not a curated record